AUUUAAAUAGUUUAAUAAAAAAAUAAAGACUUGUGGCGUCUUAGAUGUUAUGUAGCUUUAAAUU
This 64-nucleotide transfer RNA is filed under the name Empoascanara falcata. RNAcentral's name for it is "tRNA-His". RNAcentral also lists the same sequence under 1 other name. The record is from RNAcentral. Lineage: Eukaryota; Metazoa; Arthropoda; Insecta; Hemiptera; Cicadellidae.